AUACGGAGGGUGCAAGCGUUACUCGGAAUCACUGGGCGUAAAGCGCGCGCAGGCGGCUUGAUAAGUUGGAUGUGAAAGCCUACGGCUCAACCGUAGAACUGCAUCCAAAACUAUUUAGCUAGAGUGUGGGAGAGGAAGAUGGAAUUAGUUGUGUAGGGGUAAAAUCCGUAGAGAUAACUAGGAAUACCAAAAGCGAAGGCAAUCUUCUGGAACACUACUGACGCUGAGGCGCGAAAGCGUGGGGAGCAAACAGGAUUAGAAACCCCAGUAGUCC
This 274-nucleotide ribosomal RNA is filed under the name uncultured bacterium. RNAcentral describes it as "partial 16S ribosomal RNA". It matches the Rfam family "Bacterial small subunit ribosomal RNA", at positions 523 to 796 of the family's 1533-position model. The record is from RNAcentral.